This 429-nucleotide ribosomal RNA is filed under the name uncultured bacterium. RNAcentral's name for it is "bacterial SSU rRNA". It matches the Rfam family "Bacterial small subunit ribosomal RNA", at positions 355 to 801 of the family's 1533-position model. The record is from RNAcentral.
UCGGGAAUAUUGGACAAUGGGCGAAAGCCUGAUCCAGCCAUGCCGCGUGAGUGACGAAGGCCUUAGGGUUGUAAAACUCUUUCGUCGGGGACGAUAAUGACGGUACCCGAAGAAGAAGCUCCGGCUAACUUCGUGCCAGCAGCCGCGGUAAUACGAAGGGAGCUAGCGUUGUUCGUAAUCACUGGGCGUAAAGCGCACGUAGGCGGAUAGUUAAGUCAGGGGUGAAAUCCUGGGGCUCAACCCCAGAACUGCCUUUGAUACUGGCUGUCUCGAGGUCGAGAGAGGUUGGUGGAAUUCCUAGUGUAGAGGUGAAAUUCGUAGAUAUUAGGAAGAACACCAGUGGCGAAGGCGGCCAACUGGCUCGAUACUGACGCUGAGGUGCGAAAGCGUGGGGAGCAAACAGGAUUAGAUACCCUCGUAGUCCCUGAG